Molecule: ribosomal RNA, 505 nt
Filed under: uncultured bacterium
Lineage: Bacteria
Description: partial 16S ribosomal RNA
Rfam family: Bacterial small subunit ribosomal RNA
Source: RNAcentral
GACGAACGCUGGCGACGUGCCUAAUACAUGCAAGUAGAACGCACAGUUUAUACCGUAGCUUGCUACACCAUAGACUGUGAGUUGCGAACGGGUGAGUAACGCGUAGGUAACCUGCCUGGUAGCGGGGGAUAACUAUUGGAAACGAUAGCUAAUACCGCAUAAUAUUGAUUAUUGCAUGAUAAUUGAUUGAAAGAUGCUAUUGCAUCACUACCAGAUGGACCUGCGUUGUAUUAGCUAGUAGGUGAGGUAACGGCUCACCUAGGCGACGAUACAUAGCCGACCUGGGAGGGUGAUCAGCCACACUGGGACUGAGACACGGCCCAGACUCCUGCGGGAGGCAGCAGUAGGGAAUCUUCGGCAAUGGACGAAAGUCUGACCGAGCAACGCCGCGUGAGUGGAGAAGGGUUUCGGAUCGUAAAGCUCUGUUGUAAGAGAAGAACGGGUGUGAGAGUGGAAAGUUCACACUGUGACGGUAUCUUACCAGAAAGGGACGGCUAACUACGUG